Molecule: ribosomal RNA, 476 nt
Filed under: uncultured bacterium
Lineage: Bacteria
Description: bacterial SSU rRNA
Rfam family: Bacterial small subunit ribosomal RNA
Source: RNAcentral
GGACGAACGGCUGGCGGCGUGCCCUAACACAUGCAAGUCGAGCGAGGAGAUUCCUCGGGAUGAUCCUAGCGGCGGACGGGUGAGUAACACGUGGGCAACCUGCCUCAUAGGAGAGGAAUAGCCUUCCGAAAGGAGAUUAAUACCUCAUAACAUUGCAGUUUCGCAUGGAACAGCAAUUAAAGGAGUAAUCCGCUAUGAGAUGGGCCCGCGGCGCAUUAGCUAGUUGGUGAGGUAAUGGCUCACCAAGGCGACGAUGCGUAGCCGACCUGAGAGGGUGAUCGGCCACAUUGGGACUGAGACACGGCCCAGACUCCUACGGGAGGCAGCAGUGGGGAAUAUUGCACAAUGGGGGAAACCCUGAUGCAGCCAACGCCGCGUGAGUGAUGACGGCCUUCGGGUUGUAAAGCUCUGUCUUCAGGGACGAUAAUGACGGUACCUGAGGAGGAAGCCACGGCUAACUACGUGCCAGCAGCAGC